This 225-nucleotide ribosomal RNA is filed under the name uncultured Glomus. Its description in RNAcentral is "partial 18S ribosomal RNA". It matches the Rfam family "Eukaryotic small subunit ribosomal RNA", at positions 569 to 793 of the family's 1831-position model. The record is from RNAcentral. Lineage: Eukaryota; Fungi; Glomeromycota; Glomeromycetes; Glomerales; Glomeraceae.
AGCAGCCGCGGUAAUUCCAGCUCCAAUAGCGUAUAUUAAAGUUGUUGCAGUUAAAAAGCUCGUAGUUGAAUUUCGGGGUUAGUAGGUUGGUCGUGCCUAUGGUAUGCACUGGCUUUACUGAUUCCUCCUUCUUGAAGAACUGUAAUGUCAUUAAUUUGGUGUUGCAGGGAAACAGGACGUGUUACUUUGUAAAAAAUUAAGAGUGUUUAAAGUACAGGCGUAACG